Molecule: ribosomal RNA, 642 nt
Filed under: uncultured Thiobacillus sp.
Lineage: Bacteria; Pseudomonadati; Pseudomonadota; Betaproteobacteria; Nitrosomonadales; Thiobacillaceae
Description: bacterial SSU rRNA
Rfam family: Bacterial small subunit ribosomal RNA
Source: RNAcentral
GAGUUUGAUCCUGGCUCAGAUUGAACGCUGGCGGAAUGCUUUACACAUGCAAGUCGAACGGCAGCACGGGAGCUUGCUCCUGGUGGCGAGUGGCGAACGGGUGAGUAAUGCGUCGGAACGUACCGAGUAAUGGGGGAUAACGCACCGAAAGGUGUGCUAAUACCGCAUACGCCCUGAGGGGGAAAGUGGGGGAUUCGUAAGAACCUCACGUUAUUCGAGCGGCCGACGUCUGAUUAGCUAGUUGGUGGGGUAAAGGCCUACCAAGGCGACGAUCAGUAGCGGGUCUGAGAGGAUGAUCCGCCACACUGGGACUGAGACACGGCCCAGACUCCUACGGGAGGCAGCAGUGGGGAAUUUUGGACAAUGGGGGCAACCCUGAUCCAGCCAUUCCGCGUGAGUGAAGAAGGCCUUCGGGUUGUAAAGCUCCUUCAGCCGGAACGAAACGGUACGCUCUAACAUAGCGUGCUAAUGACGGUACCGGCAGAAGAAGCACCGGCUAACUACGUGCCAGCAGCCGCGGUAAUACGUAGGGUGCGAGCGUUAAUCGGAAUUACUGGGCGUAAAGCGUGCGCAGGCGGAUUGUUAAGCAAGAUGUGAAAUCCCCGGGCUUAACCUGGGAAUGGCAUUUUGAACUGGCAGUCU